AUUAUACCGCGAAACUGCGAAUGGCUCAUUAAAUCAGUUAUCGUUUAUUUGAUAGUACCUUACUACUUGGAUAACCGUGGUAAUUCUAGAGCUAAUACAUGCUUCAAAUCCCGACUCACGAAGGGGUGUAUUUAUUAGAUUAAAAACCAAUGCCCUCCGGGGCUCACUGGUGAUUCAUAAUAACUUCUCGAAUCGCAUGCCCUUGCGGCGGCGAUGGUUCAUUCAAAUUUCUGCCCUAUCAACUUUCGAUGGCAGGGUCUUGGCCUGCCAUGGUUACAACGGGUAACGGAGGGUUAGGGCUCGACCCCGGAGAAGGAGCCUGAGAAACGGCUACUACAUCCAAGGAAGGCAGCAGGCGCGCAAAUUACCCAAUCCCGAUACGGGGAGGUAGUGACAAUAAAUACUGAUACAGGGCUCUUUUGGGUCUUGUAAUUGGAAUGAGUACAAUUUAAAUCCCUUAACGAGGAACAAUUGGAGGGCAAGUCUGGUGCCAGCAGCCGCGGUAAUUCCAGCUCCAAUAGCGUAUAUUAAAGUUGUUGCAGUUAAAAAGCUCGUAGUUGAACCUUGGGCCUGGCUGGCCGGUCCGCCUCACCGCGUGCACUGGUUCGGCCGGGCCUUUCCCUCUGGGGACCCCCAUGCCCUUCACUGGUUGUGGCGGGGAGCCAGGACUUUUACUGUGAAAAAAUUAGAGUGUUCAAAGCAGGCCUAUGCUCGAAUAGUACAGCAUGGAAUAAUAGAAUAGGACGCGCGGUUCUAUUUUGUUGGGUUCUAGGACCGCCGUAAUGAUUAAUAGGCACAGUCGGGGGCAUCAGUAUUCAAUUGUCAGAGGUGAAAUUCUUGGAUUUAUUGAAGACUAACUACUGCGAAAGCAUUUGCCAAGGAUGUUUUCAUUAAUCAGGAACGAAAGUUAGGGGAUCGAAGACGAUCAGAUACCGUCGUAGUCUUAACCAUAAACUAUGCCGACUAGGGAUCGGACGGUGUUAUUUUUUGACCCGUUCGGCACCUUACGAGAAAUCAAAGUCUUUGGG
This 1028-nucleotide ribosomal RNA is filed under the name Cainia graminis. RNAcentral's name for it is "SSU rRNA". It matches the Rfam family "Eukaryotic small subunit ribosomal RNA", at positions 73 to 1111 of the family's 1831-position model. Lineage: Eukaryota; Fungi; Ascomycota; Sordariomycetes; Xylariales; Cainiaceae. The record is from RNAcentral.